RNAcentral lists this long non-coding RNA (7539 nucleotides) under Aquilegia coerulea. Its description in RNAcentral is "long non-coding RNA (ACOE_LNC001680)". The record is from RNAcentral. Lineage: Eukaryota; Viridiplantae; Streptophyta; Magnoliopsida; Ranunculales; Ranunculaceae.
GGUUGGGCCAGUCCUAAUGUAACUAAGGUUUCUCGAACCAAAUUAAAAUCAGUUUUACAAUUCUGUUAAAUGUAACUAAGAUUUCUGGGCCCAAAUUAAUUUAAGUCUGUUUAGACCUAGGUGAUUUCCGUCGUGUCCCAUCAAACCAUCUCUUUAUUCUCUGAUCAAAAAAAUUGGUCUCAUCUCUUUCGACCGUAUUAACUGCUCUAGCUCUCUCUCGAGUCUCAAUCAAUCAUUAACAACACUCUGUUUCUAAUCACAUUUUCGUCUUCAAUCGACGGUAAGCUCUGGUUUGCUAUCAAUCAUUUUUGAUUCGUAUUUUUUUUAUAUUAAAUCUAUAACUUUUGUUUAUAUCUAUAUAAGUUUCUCAAUCAUAAAUGCACAAACGCAACAGGUUAGUUUGCAUCAAUCAAUUCAGUAAUUGUUCUUUUUUAUGAUGUUGUUUUUAGACGACAAUUUGAUUCAUGAAUACUAUUAGAAUCACCACUUGAACCAAUUAGAAUUUGCAAAUUUUGCGAAAACCCUAGACUUAAUUUGCAAAUUUUUGAAUACAUGUUAAGAGUAGUGAUAUAUUUUAGUACCACAGAUUAACCAAACGCUAACUUCCCCAUCAUCACCUUUUCGUUUGUGUAGGUGGUCGGAUAAAAGGUCCAUCACUCAUCUCUUUGCUCUCGUCCAUUUUUUUUGCAUCGAAAUUACUUAGGUAUUAAAGAUUUCAAUAGUUAAAGUACUCACGAUUCUGUUACUCUUUUCUUUUACAUGGACUGAUUGUGAUGACUAAUUACUUUGUAGUUAGAUUUGAAUAGUUGAAGGUUCUGGCAUGUAUACCUUUCCAACAAGUAGUAGUAGAUGGUUAGAUAUUGUCGUUGUAGGGGUACUUUAUACAACAUACAUGUGGCACCAUCUCUACCGUCUAUCAUGGUGCCACAUGUCAACAUCUAAUGGGCUCUCUGUUGAUGGCACAAGUUACAAAGUUAAGCCUUAUUAUUACAAAGAUAUUUUCCCCAUUAUUACCCUAUUAAUUGCUAAGAAUGGAGUUACAUUGUAGCCUAUAAAUAUAAAGGCAAACUACUCAUCUUCUCAUGGUCUCAUUGUGAAUCAUACACAAGACCUCAACACUCUCUCAUGAGACCUCACCUCUCAGGUCUCAUCUCUCUCUUGAGCUCUCUCCAUUAUCGAGCUCCCAUUUUGUAUCACCACUACUAUAAUAAAGUUCAUUCUCUCUCUCUCUCUCUCUCUCUCUCUCUCUCUCUCUCUCUCUCUCUCUCUCUCUCUCUCUCUCUCUCUCUCUCUCUCUCUGUGGAUGUAGGCACAAUUGCUGAACCACGUAUACAAUGGUGUUCACGUCUCUACUUUAUUAUUGUUCAUAUCAUACACAUCAUCAUCUUUCAUUAAUGUAUUGACCAACCUCACAAAUAUGGUUAAUACAUUUGGCGCCGACUACAGGGACUUGGGAUUUUCUCAAGCGAAUUCCACCCACCAACCCCACCGAACACCAUUGUUCUAAGGUUCUCAGAUGGUGAUUUUCAAGAAAUUCAUUGAAUUGGAAAAGAUAGAAUUGCAACUCACAGUUGGGGGCUUGGAGCAAAUUGUUUACACAAUUACUGGACUCGACAGAAGCAAGAUAAGUAUCACUUUAAUAUUUUUUGGUGAUUGAAAUGAGGCACCGAGCUAUCAAGGAGCGACCUCAUCAUCUACUGUUUAUUCUACACAGUUUCACAUAUAUUUAUAUGGUGAUAUAUUUUCAUGUACAAAUAUCAGUUUACGUUCUCAUUAUAUUGAUAUGUUUAAUUAUCAAUUCAACAUGUGGCCAUGGUUCAACAACUUAUUAUAUUUUCAUGUACAAAUAUCAGUUUACGUUCUCAUUAUAUUGAUAUGUUUAAUUAUCAAUUCAACAUGUGGCCAUGGUUCAACAACUUAUUUCAGAUCCAUUUGCCAUGCCACAUCAAUUCUCGUGGUUAUCUACAAAAAACCAUGGAAUGGAUUCAGUUACUGAUUCACAUUUUUUACCUUGGUUAUAUAGUCUUUCAAGUUCAGGUCUCUCAUCGUGACCUCGACAGGUCUACCAACGAUCUCUCAGGUCUCGUCGCGACCUCACCAGGUCCUUCAUACCAGGUCUUUCAUGCCAGGUCCUUCAUGCCAGGUCCUUCAUGCCAGGUCCUUCAUGCCAGGUCCUUCAUACCAAGUCCUUCAUACCAAGUCCUUCAUACCAGGUCCUUCAUACCAGGUCCUUCAUGCCAGGUCCUUCAUACCAGGUCCUUCAUAGCAGGUCCUUCAUCGCGACCUCACCAGGUCUAUCAACGACCUCCUCAAAUUACAGGUCUUUCAACGACCUCAAGAAUAUUUAUGCCAUACAGGGGGCUAUUCUCACUUUAUCUAAUGAAAUUAACUUAUUAUUAGCACAAUUAGCUAUUAAUGAUAUUUUUUUUUGUAGCUCUCUCUAUGUGCAGGUCACAUGAACACGACCUCACUCCCCAUGAGCUAUUUUUGCACAAAUGUGCCACAUUGCUUUCACUGAACUCUUUACAAGUGAAAUGCUUGAUAUACAAUACGGCCACCCUCAUUGACUAGUGAGUCACUCGUAUGCGGGACGACCUCAAACACAAUUCUCUAGCCACACGCCUGGUCGAACACAUUCACUCUCAACGCAAUGCAGACCCACAAAGGCCACAUGCCCGAGAAUUGUCAAACAGGUCUCCACGCUGCGACCAUUCACUAGAUCGGGCAGCAAAAGGUUCCAAGUAACUCUCAAAACACUUGGUCAACCAAUGCUCUUUCUCAAACGAGCUACAUGUGCACUCCAAAGUGCCACAUCUAUCGGAAUGUCCAAUCACAAGGCGACAAAGAUAGUACAUACAAAACUCAUAAGGAAGACAUACAGUUCAGUGUAAGUAUCUUACUAAAUUUUAUAAUAUUUCACAUCCUAACAUUAUCAACAAGUAUAAGGUCUAUGCAACUCGACCACAAAAAGACAACCACCCAUGUAUGCAAGAAGACCCACUUCAGUACGACCUGCUUGCAGCUGUCCAUCUCGUCUACAUGCCUUCUGAACGAGCUACCAGGUCUCCCUGGAACUAACUAGCUCGCUAUACACAAAUUCAUGAUCGAGUUGCCAUUACCACAAGGGACCUUCAUCGCGUCCUGCAAAUCUCAAUGAUCAAGCUCAUCAAAAUUUGGGGCGGAUCGACUUCGUUAAAGAACCCCAUAUUUCAUUCAUCUUGGCGGCUGGAUCGGUUCGAUUACUUCUUUUCAGCCCGAACUCCGUUCAACCUACAAAGAGGGGGCUUAUGUAGGGGUACUAUAUACAACAUACAUGUGGCACCAUCUCUACCGUCCAUCAUGGUGCCACAUGACAACAUCUAAUGGGCUCUCUCUUGAUGGCACAAGUUACAAAGUUAAGCAUUAUUAUUACAAAGAUAUUUUCCCCAUUAUUACCCUAUUAAUUGCUAAGAAUGGAGUUACAUUGUAGCCUAUAAAUAUAAAGGCAAACUACUCAUCUUCUCAUGGUCUCAUUGUGAAUCAUACACAAGACCUCAACUCUCUCAUGAGACCUCACCUCUCAGGUCUCAUCUCUCUCUUGAGCUCUCUCCAUUAUCGAGCUCCCAUUUUGUAUCACCACUACUAUAAUAAAGUUCAUUCUCUCUCUCCAUGGAUGUAGGCACAAUUGCUGAACCACGUAUACAAUGGUGUUCACGUCUCUACUUUAUUAUUGUUCAUAUCAUACACAUCAUCAUCUUUUAUUAAUGUAUUGACCAACCUCACAAAUAUGGUUAAUAGAGUCGUAAUAAACCAAGUAUAGACCUCACUCUGUUGACCAAUAUAAUUUAUAACUGCAAUAGAGUAUUACAUGUUCUGCCAAGGUAUAUAUGUAGGGAACAUCUAUACUAAUCAGUUCAUGAUUUUAUGUCUUACUACAUUAGUCAUUCUAAGCAUAUGAGCACCACUGCCUUGAUCAUUACUCUAUCAAGGCAUUGAAAAUUUUCCUUAUAUGCUCAUUCAAGUGCAUGAUGACUUUUUGUGCACUCUCUUCAAAAUCAAUGACAUUACUUCCCAUUAUUUAAAUUAGUUUAGAUAGUUUUUUAAAGGUGAGCAAUGCGCAUGAUACUCCAAUUGGUACUUUGAUGAAUUAAAAUUCUGAAUCGAAGUAUCAUAUACAGUCAUAGUCUUAAUUAGCGUGGCAAUUAUAUUUACAAUAUGACAUGCUUGAUUUGAAUACAUUAGUUUUUUUUUUUAAUAUAGUCAUGGUCUUAGCUCAGUUGAAAAAUACAGUCAUAGUCUUAAAAGGCAAUCACAUUCUAAAUCGAACUAUCAUAUACAGUCAUAGUCUUAAUUAGCGUGACACUUAUAUUCACAAUAUAGGAAUUUGUGAAUUUUGGUUGGUAUGGGUAGAUAAACUGCACUACAAACAAGAUUUGGACACUUUUAUAAACUACCUGAAGGUUGCUUUAUGUAGCCAUUAAGUAGAAGUUGAACAAUAGCUAAAACUUUAACUAAAGCAAAUAAAGAACAUCUGAAAUUGGGAUUAUGAUAAAUCAAUAUGACACUUUAGAGUUUCAUCCCAAAGUGGUUCCUGUUCAGGGUGAAACUAAGAUUUGUCAAGCUACCUUAGGUCUCAAACUUGCACGAAACCAGAAGGAAGUUAAAUCUGAAUUUACUAGUCUGAUUGAAAAAAUUGAAAUGUCUAUUCUAAAUGAAAGUUGGUUAAAAUGUGCUAUUUAUUUUUCUUAAUGUGAGAAUAACCUCUCCUGCUAAAAUACGAACCUUCAAAGGGCAAAUUAAAGACAAUGCCUGGAGAACACUUCUCUGGCGGCAACUAGUUGUUCGACCUUAAUUUCUAUGGAUUCAAUGGACGGUCAGUUCUAUGACAAUUUAUCCUCAGAUUUUGAUAAUUACUGUAGUUGGUUACUAACUACUAAGCCUACAUUCUUAUCAUUGUUUGAGCAUUUGCACAUGCGAUAAGCUGAUAAUAUAUUACAUUACAGAGCAAUAUAGUAUCAUUUACAUAAUUACAUGCAAUAUAGUAUCAUUAACAUAAGUUCCUACGUGGUUAUUUUAUGAGUUUGAUGGGUUAUAAAACCCUCAAGUAUUGUUUUUCUUACUUGACAGAUGGUCCUCCCCGUGAAGUAUGGGUUAUAUAAAGUCUGAUUCUUCUUACUGAUUGCUUUAUGCUGUUUGCAGUUUACAAACAGUGAAGUUAGAACUUUUGGAUUCGUUUCUCCAACUUCAUCUGCAAUUUUUGCAAAUCCUGCAAAUUUAGAAAAACCUUCAGAUAUUAUGGUAGUUCAAGAGCAGCAUGAAAACUUUUAUAGAUUGCAAAGAACUGAAGUAAGUCACAAUUGUAAUUAGGACUUAAUGAGUACAACUCUAUUAUUAGUUUUUUAUCCUUCUAGUUUAACACUUUCUACGUGUUCAAAUCUUAUGUUUUACAGGCAACUGACACUUCCAAUAGAAUUUCUCAAGACAAAUCAAUUCAGUUGAUAACAAAUGUUUUGAAUGAUAUGCCAGUAACUAAACAGAAACAAGCUAAACAAAAAAGACGAUUAAGAGAAAUGAAUAAAAAAAAAAAUCAAAUAGAACAUGUGUGCAAUGCAAAUGUAGGGAUAUCCACACGUUUUGAAAGUCAACGAAAACGAAGAGAAAAAGAAUUGAAUGAAUCUGCCCUAAUCAAGUUAGCUCGAUUUAUAACAUAUUUUUAAAAUUUUAAAUUUUAUUUCAAAUGUCUAUUAAAAAAAAACACUAUUUUUUAUUGACGGGAGUUCAUCAGUUGCAAAGAAGUAGCGACAAAGAAAACGUGAAGGCACAGAAGAACUCUAUGAAUCAACAUCAAAUAAGUAAGUUCAAUUAAUAUAUACACUAAUACUAAGAGCAUCUCUAAUGGGUCUCCCAUAUUUAGCCUACACAUGGGACGAUUUAGCCUCCAUGUAGGUGCCACCUCCUUUCCCAUCACUUUUUUUAGCAGGUCUUCCAUAAGAUCAGGGGUAUCCCUAACGCGUUUCCUAUUUUUUUUGCCAAAUUUUUAUCUUCCACGCUGGUUGGACCAGCGUGGAAUCUUUUUUCACUUUGAUCUCUGUUCCACGCUGGUUGAACCAGCGUGGAAAUUUUGGGCUAUGCUUUUCUGGACUGGACUGAGCAAAGGAGAUGGGCUUCGGUUGGACUGGGGGUGAGUUUGGGCUUCGGUUGGACUGGGCUGGCUGGGCUUCGGUUGGAGUGGCAGAGCUGGUAAUUAAAGAAAUAGUUGUGGCCUGUUGUGUAUCUAAAAUUUGUUACAAACAGUUCCACGCUGGUUAAACUGGCGUGGAAUUGAAAAAAAAAAAAAAAAAAGGUUCCACGUCGGUUUGACCAGCGUGGAAUUAAAAAAAUAAUAAAAACAAAGUUCCACGCUGGUUCAAACAUUUUAUUUUACCCAUUCCUAUAAUCCUAUCUUUGGUUCGAUUUUAGACGAAGUUUUAGCAGACCGGCCCACCACAUCCUACGUGGAUAGUCGGCUGCUAAAAUUAUAGACGACGCGUUAGGGUGCUGAUUAUUUAGGAAAACCUAAAUUAUAGGUUUUAGGAGACCCAUUAGAGAUGCUCUAAGCAUAUAAUUAUCUUAUAUUGUGAAUCUUAGGGGGAUUUAGGUUUUGAUCACUAAACAUAUAUACUAUUUAGGUUUUGGACAAUUUCUUUUGUUAAUUAGACUUUGGCCACCGGGUCAAACCCGAGUUGUAAAAAAAAACCGGGUUUUUUUGAAAUGGAUGAAUUGCCCCUGGAAAACUCACGUUAAUUGCACGCGAAUAACUUAAACCCACUGAAAAGAACAGAGCACAUGUCAAAAUCUGAACUUUAGAAGCAGAUCCAACGGCUAGCACUAAAGAGCCGUUAAACUAGCAAUUGGUCUUCUUCUUUAAAGCUAUAUAAACUUUGUAACAUGCAACAAUAGCAACAUCAACUAAACAACAUCCAUCAAACAUCAACUAAACAACACCCAUCACUUAAACUGUUUGAACAUUGUACUUGCAAACAAGAUAAUGGGUGGUUGCAACCUCUGGGUUAGUUUAAUGAUGGCUGCCUCAAUGUUUAAUCUCUAAUUAACAUAAUUACAGCAAUGCUUAAACUCAUAUUUUUUUUGUUUUUUUUUACAGGAAGUAAGCCAAAUCUACACGUCUGAAGGACACAUAGCUGAUGUUUGUCCUCGGACACAUAGCUGAUGUUUGUCCUCUACUAUAUGUGCCAUGUAACAUGGAAGGCUGCACAAGAAUCAUGAAGUUCUACGGGAAGACGGAAUUGAGUGUUUUAUGUUUCUUAAAUGCUAAUAUGACCUAUGUGGUGGACAUGAGACAAUCUAUCCUGAACAAAACCCAAUUUGGGACCAUUGCUAUAUAUACAUGCUUAAACCAGAAGAACCUAAAGCUAUUGAAGAUGAUGGCAAGGUUAAUAUUGUUGAUGUGUCUAAAGCAAUGUAAUUCCCCUGUUUUCCUCAGUUUUCCAAGCUAAUUCACAUGUAAUGGUGUGUGCAAUAUUUCAAUCAAUUUUUUUUUUAUGAACUACAAUUGCACUACAA